AAGUGCUUGGCUUUGACAAUGCUCUUAACAGGAAUGCACUGCAGGCUCCCGCCAAGUGGGCGUGGCCCCGGCCCGGGGUCGGAAGCCAAGUUUGGUCGGUUCAGUUUUUUAAGGGGGCGGAGGGGAUUGUUGAGAAACAGAGAAGGAGGAGAGGAUGUGGACUGGAGCAACACUCUUGGGCUGCCUGCUGCAUGACACGGCAGUUUCAGAGGUGGAGGACGAUGGGAGCGAAUAAAGAGGAAAGACACCUGAACGCGUCCAUCCUUCUAUCAAUUUUCUACCGCAUGUCCCUUUCGGGGUGGCGGAGGGUGCUGGAGCCUAUCUCAGCUGCACAUGGGCGGAAGGCGGAGUACACCCUGGACAAAUUGGACGGGGCCAACACAGAUAGACAAACAACAUUCCCACUCACAGUCAACCAGUAGGAUUAACUGAACUCAGUGAGCCCUCUUCUCAGGCCCCGUUUACACUAAAGUUAUCCUGGGUAAAUCCCACCUAACCUUAUCCCUUAUCACACAACAAUGCCACUGUUUAAGACCCCCUCGCCCCUCUUUUGGCCGGAGCAACACGGCCUGGUACGUGUAACAGAG
Nerophis ophidion (straightnose pipefish) is the source of this 587-nucleotide long non-coding RNA. RefSeq lists it as uncharacterized. The record is from RefSeq and is a predicted model, not a curated record. The transcript has 3 exons. Lineage: Eukaryota; Metazoa; Chordata; Actinopteri; Syngnathiformes; Syngnathidae.